Molecule: non-coding RNA, 525 nt
Organism: Odocoileus virginianus texanus
Lineage: Eukaryota; Metazoa; Chordata; Mammalia; Artiodactyla; Cervidae
Source: RefSeq, a predicted model, not a curated record
UUUGGGCCUUCUAGGUUUCCACUGUUCCAGAAUCCUAAGAAGUCAGAAGUCCUGAGGCUUUAAUACUGAGCAUCUCUGUGGUGGCAGGCAGGGUGCUCACAGCAGGUGUGCCCAGUAGUCCGCAGCCUCCUUGAAAGCCUGGAUACGGAGUAAGUUAAGAACCGUAUUGAUGAACUAACUGAGGCUCAGAGAGAUGGAGUGACACGCAAGAAGUCCCAUGAAUGUCAAGUCAGACCCGCUGGAGGGUGGCAGCCACUUGUGUCUGAUUUCUAUUCAGCUUUCCAGUGCUGGAGCCUGAGAACUGCUACUAAUUUGUUCUUUCGAAGGAAGUUUAUGAACUCCAAUAGGAAAACUCAUAAAACAGAUGAGGAAAACAGCUGUGAAGCCUGCCUGCUGGUGAGCUUGGUUCCCAGAGACUUGAAUGAAUCUCUGACCCGUCUCCCUCUGGGACAGUUGGUCCUGCCACCAUCCCCCAGGAGUGACAACCGAAUCCAGUCAAAGGAUGCCUCUCAGAUACUCAUGCUC